This 276-nucleotide long non-coding RNA is filed under the name Medicago truncatula (barrel medic). Its description in RNAcentral is "lncRNA gene11107". The record is from RNAcentral. Lineage: Eukaryota; Viridiplantae; Streptophyta; Magnoliopsida; Fabales; Fabaceae.
CAUGCCUCCAAGUAAAGUAAUUAAAGAGUCCCCACAAUAUUUGACACACAAGUUACACAGAUUUACAAAGAGCUUUACAUCUUUUACAUAAUUAAUAACACCAACAAUCUUGAGACCGGCCAUGCCUCCAAGUAAAGUAAUUAAAGAGUCCCCAAAAAAUCUUUUGUUUGCUCUCUGGCAGUUCAGGUAGCCUUAUCGUUGUUCUAUGUUUUUUUAAAUUAGUUGUGCCGACGUGUUCGUGUCAGUGUCAUGUCAUGUGUUCGUGUUGGAGCCUGU